RNAcentral lists this unclassified non-coding RNA (203 nucleotides) under Hevea brasiliensis (rubber tree). The record is from RNAcentral. Lineage: Eukaryota; Viridiplantae; Streptophyta; Magnoliopsida; Malpighiales; Euphorbiaceae.
GUUCUUUUUGGGUCAAGAACUAUCAUGAUAUGCUCCUCUUAUACCAAAAAAGAACAAAAAAUUGCUACAACCCUUUCUUAAAAAUUUUCCUGAAGAAAAAAGAGUUAACGCUGCAAUAGCUUUCUGCAGGCUUUUUUGAAUGUUUUUUGAUCUGUUACAUAAUCCAUGAAGAAAGCCUUCCCCAUAUUUGGAAUUAAUUUGUU